RNAcentral lists this non-coding RNA (24 nucleotides) under Arabidopsis thaliana (thale cress). The record is from RNAcentral. Lineage: Eukaryota; Viridiplantae; Streptophyta; Magnoliopsida; Brassicales; Brassicaceae.
GUAUCGUUGUCCUGUAGACACAAU